GCGCCUGGGAAGAACAAGCCUGGUAAAGAAAAAUCUGUCAAAUCCUUACCAUCGGGCAAAUUGAGCUCUCGCCUCACCGUUGCCGGAUCGCCGGAAGACACUCCCAAGCAAGAAGAGAAAAAGGUGGAAGUAGAGGAGCCAGUCCAGUUGCAGACCCCAGCCAUCCCAGAAGUCCCUACUUUCAAUACUUUAAAUGUGUCCUGUCCCAGUGGUUUGGUGUUGACCUUCAUUGGCAAAAACAUCCCAGAUGAAGAAAAGGGAGACAAGGGCAAAAACAGUGAUAAAGAAUGCAAAGCGGAGGAGGCUAAGUCAAGAUCAAAUUAAAACAGAUAGAGUGAUCAGGACCCAAAAGGGCCAAAGGUGG
Sphaerodactylus townsendi is the source of this 364-nucleotide long non-coding RNA. RefSeq lists it as uncharacterized. NCBI's taxonomy places the organism in Eukaryota, Metazoa, Chordata, Lepidosauria, Squamata, Sphaerodactylidae. The record is from RefSeq and is a predicted model, not a curated record. The transcript is spliced from 3 exons.